This is a long non-coding RNA of Rhipicephalus sanguineus (brown dog tick), 551 nucleotides long. RefSeq lists it as uncharacterized. The transcript has 4 exons. NCBI's taxonomy places the organism in Eukaryota, Metazoa, Arthropoda, Arachnida, Ixodida, Ixodidae. The record is from RefSeq and is a predicted model, not a curated record.
CGUUCGUCGGCAACACACGAGGGGCAAAGUGUUUCCGGAACGACACAAACACAGAGGCAGCAGCAGAGACCUCGGAUCGCGAGACAACAAAGCACUUUCUCGAGCUCGCCGCAGCGGGGACACGAUCCGGGAACCAGGAGCUACAGACGUCUCCGGAGCCCACGAUGGACCGAGAAGCCAGCAGCCUGGUCAUAAACUACGCCAUCCUCAUCAUCCUCCUGCUAAUCUUAUGGGUUCUCUACACGGGAGACAGUUCUGAAGACUAGCCAGAAGUCGCACAAUGUAGAGCUGGUUGACCAUGCACCGGGUGGGAUAUUCAAAGUGAGGUCACCAGUUUGAAAUCAUAUGUAAAUGGACCACCCGGAUUUGUAACCAGUGGCCAUCAGCUGCAAAACCCGACGGCUGCCAAGAUGCUGCACUUCCAACAAACCACCACAGAGGGGGCACUUCCGACAAGGGAGCAUCGAAAGUCGCGCGCUCGCAAAUUCCACUACGAGGGGGCCAUGCGUGUUGGCCUCGUGUAGUACCAACAACGUUAUCCACAGCAUGCA